UAGUCUUUGCCAUGCGGAUAAAAUAUUUCCUCAAACUACCUCGUUAAAUUAAUCUGCUUGUAAUUGUUGAUGUAUUCUGGUUUGUGUUCUCCAUUUGUAUCUUGUUCGUAUUGUUAAGCUCUUUGUUCUUUCACCAGGACUGUUAACAAAUGCCACAGGUGAUUGGUCAGGUUCUCAUGGGUGUUCUCAUUAAUGACGCAGGAUCCUCACCAAACCAUCACUGAGUCAUGAUAGUGCCAUUAUCACUUCGUUGACUUUCACUACAGGCUGUAAAACUAUCACCCAAGGAAACACACUUGUAAAUCCCUAACAGUUUGUACUAUACCCUGCUAAAACAUUCGUAAAACCACGAUAACUUCCAGUAAAUCAAAGGAAAUUGCCACUAAACCAUGAAAAUACCCUUGCAAAACUCGUCACCUCACUAAUCAUAAUUUCAAUCACUAAAGUCACGAAAACAUCCUUGGAAAACCAAAUAACUUUAGCUCGGGUUUGUUAAAAGUAGUGGAGGUAUUUUCUUUUCUUCCCUUUUGUUGCCUCAGCCCGGUGUCCCUCUGAUGUGAAAAAAAAAAAAAAAAACAAGACAUUGAAGCGUUCGAGAUAGCGAAAAAGUUACGAAGCUUCAGCAGACGUGAACUAACGCCUGACUCUAGCCGCGUCGCUCUCUCUACCUCCGUCCGCCGCCCAGGUAAGGUCAUCCCAGCCACGUGCCGCCGCCUCGCUCCGCUGCUUCACAAGGCGCUCCACGCGUGCCACAGCCAGCCGGCGCUCCCUAUUGGCGGCCUGAAGACCCACGCACCCCAGCAACAAGGUGAAGGCUGUGCUCUGGCAGGUCGCUCCAGCUUGCCAUCAUAGGUGCUAGCCUGCCCUGAGCGCCCUCCUCUCUGCCUGUGACGCGCCGGGGGUGUCUGGCUGGGCGAGUGGCUCAAUUCAAAUAUUGUUUCAAUUGAACGUUGUUCUCGGUUAAGAACUUUUUUAAAUCGUUUAAUUCUGAUGUUUGGUUAUCAAAUAGUAAAAAUCCGUCUUUUUAAA
This is a long non-coding RNA of Scylla paramamosain (green mud crab), 1029 nucleotides long. RefSeq lists it as uncharacterized. The transcript is spliced from 2 exons. NCBI's taxonomy places the organism in Eukaryota, Metazoa, Arthropoda, Malacostraca, Decapoda, Portunidae. The record is from RefSeq and is a predicted model, not a curated record.